Molecule: unclassified non-coding RNA, 313 nt
Filed under: plant metagenome
Description: partial contains 5.8S ribosomal RNA, internal transcribed spacer 2, and large subunit ribosomal RNA
Rfam family: 5.8S ribosomal RNA (bases 1-104)
Source: RNAcentral
AAAUGCGAUAAUUAAUGUGAAUUGCAGAAUUCAGUGAAUCAUCGAGUCUUUGAACGCACAUUGCGCCCCCUGGUAUUCCGGGGGGCAUGCCUGUCCGAGCGUCAUUGCUGCCCUCAAGCACGGCUUGUGUGUUGGGCUUCCGUCCCUGGCAACGGGGACGGGCCCAAAAGGCAGUGGCGGCACCAUGUCUGGUCCUCGAGCGUACGGGGCUUUGUCACCCGCUCCCGUAGGUCCAGCUGGCAGCUAGCCUCGCAACCAAUCUUUUUAACCAGGUUGACCUCGGAUCAGGUAGGGAUACCCGCUGAACUUAAGC